GGGGUUGUAGCUCUGUGGCAGAGCACUUGCCUAGCACGUGUGAGGCACUGAGUUCGAUUUUCAGCACCACA
Molecule: transfer RNA, 71 nt
Filed under: Marmota monax (woodchuck)
Lineage: Eukaryota; Metazoa; Chordata; Mammalia; Rodentia; Sciuridae
Description: tRNA.Ala
Source: RNAcentral